This 253-nucleotide ribosomal RNA is filed under the name uncultured bacterium. Its description in RNAcentral is "partial 16S ribosomal RNA". It matches the Rfam family "Bacterial small subunit ribosomal RNA", at positions 524 to 776 of the family's 1533-position model. The record is from RNAcentral.
UACGUAGGGCGCAAGCGUUGUCCGGAAUUAUUGGGCGUAAAGAGCUCGUAGGCGGUCUGUCGCGUCUGCUGUGAAAACUCGGGGCUUAACCCCGGGCCCGCAGUGGGUACGGGCAGACUAGAGUGCGGUAGGGGAGACUGGAAUUCCUGGUGUAGCGGUGAAAUGCGCAGAUAUCAGGAGGAACACCGGUGGCGAAGGCGGGUCUCUGGGCCGUAACUGACGCUGAGGAGCGAAAGCAUGGGGAGCGAACAGG